CGACCUGCACGAAUGGAGUAACGACUUCCCUACUGUCUCAACCAUGAACUCGGCGAAAUUGCAGUACGAGUAAAGAUGCUCGUUUCGCGCAGCAGGACGGAAAGACCCCGUGACCUUUACUACAGUUUGGUAUUGGUGUUCGGAGUGGCUUGUGUAGGAUAGGUGGGAGACUGUGAAGCGGGCACGCUAGUGUUCGUGGAGUCAUUGUUGAAAUACCACUCUGGUCACUUUGGAUGUCUAACGUAGGACCCUGAUCGGGUUCAUGGACAGUGCCUGAUGGGUAGUUUAACUGGGGCGGUUGCCUCCUAAAGAGUAACGGAGGCGCCCAAAGGUUCCCUCAACCUGG
RNAcentral lists this ribosomal RNA (346 nucleotides) under Heterosigma akashiwo. RNAcentral's name for it is "partial Bacterial large subunit ribosomal RNA". It matches the Rfam family "Bacterial large subunit ribosomal RNA", at positions 1984 to 2330 of the family's 2925-position model. Lineage: Eukaryota; Raphidophyceae; Chattonellales; Chattonellaceae. The record is from RNAcentral.